AGCAGCCGCGGUAAUUCCAGCUCCAAUAGCGUAUAUUAAAGUUGUUGCAGUUAAAAAGCUCGUAGUUGAAUUUCGGAAUCUGUCCGUCGGUCGGGCUUAACUGUCCGUACUGGUGUGAUGGGUUCUUACCUUCUGAAUAACCAGCAUGCCAUUUAUUUGGUGCGUUGGGGAAGCAGGACUAUUACCUUGAAAAAAUUAGAGUGCUCAAAGCAGGCUAGUGCCUGAAUAUAUUAGCAUGGAAUAAUAAAAUAGGACGGCAUGGUUCUAUUUUGUUGGUUUCUAGGAUCACCGUAAUGAUUAAUAGGGAUAGUUGGGGGCAUUAGUAUUCAAUUGUCAGAGGUGAAAUUCUUGGAUUUAUUGAAGACUAACUUCUGCGAAAGCAUUUGCCAAGGAUGUUUUCAUUAAUCAAGAACGAAAGUUAGGGGAUCGAAGACGAUCAGAUACCGUCGUAGUCUUAACCAUAAACUAUGCCGACUAGGGAUCGGAUGAUGUUAAUUUUUAAUGA
RNAcentral lists this ribosomal RNA (505 nucleotides) under uncultured Acaulospora. RNAcentral's name for it is "SSU rRNA". It matches the Rfam family "Eukaryotic small subunit ribosomal RNA", at positions 569 to 1074 of the family's 1831-position model. Lineage: Eukaryota; Fungi; Glomeromycota; Glomeromycetes; Diversisporales; Acaulosporaceae. The record is from RNAcentral.